UCAUCACUUUAUUACUUGUUACGAUUCGUGCACUUGCGAAAUUAACCAACAGUUCUCACCCAAAUAAAAAACAUCAUUUUAGCAUUUAAAAUAAUUAUUGGGCCUAUCACCUUCAUGCAAAGAUUAUCAUACACAAGUAAUUGGUUUUAUUUUUCUUUUCUCCUUAUUUUCUUGGUUUGCUUUUUGUCUAUGGUUUCAGUUAAUUCUUCUUCUUAUUCACCAGUGGCUGUUGUUGUGGUUUAGACCGAAGCGUGAUGACGAAUUGUGUAUAGGGUUAAUGAGUUUCAGUUGGAAUCGAUGGAGGCUGCGUUGGUCGUCACUCACAGUGACAAUGAAGAGGAGGGAGGCAAAUGGGCUGAUUCGGUGCUGGAUCAUGACUUGGUGACUGAUAGUGGCUGAAAUGGUUUCGCUGCUGGAGAAGCUCCCAGUGCGGUGUUGCCGACAAGAAGAAAUAGUUGUCUUGGGUUGCUGCCGCUGUGAGGUGAUUUGGUGGAGUCUGUGGUGGGUCUUAGCUAGAAAGGAGAACUAUGAUAAGGCCGACAAAGCUGCUGUGCGGCUAGAAUAAGGAGAGAAGGUUGAAGAAGAUGGAAUCGGUGGAGAGCGGCUGAUUUGCUCACGAUGGAGGUUUUUUAGCUGUGGCCGAGAGAGGAAGAGGAGGGUCAGGUGAAGGCUUUGUUGGAGAUGCUAAGGUUGAUGGCGUGAAGGAGUGAUAGAGACGAUCUUCAACAAUGAGAACAGGAGAAAUAGGCUAGUGUGUGGUGGGCCUCUCUAAUGUUUCGGGUGGCCUUGUUUGUGCG
Molecule: long non-coding RNA, 797 nt
Filed under: Populus trichocarpa (black cottonwood)
Lineage: Eukaryota; Viridiplantae; Streptophyta; Magnoliopsida; Malpighiales; Salicaceae
Description: long non-coding RNA (PTRI_LNC003379)
Source: RNAcentral